GAUGAACGCUGGCGGCGUGCCUAAUACAUGCAAGUCGAGCGAACAGACGAGGAGCUUGCUCCUCUGACGUUAGCCGCGCGCGGGUGAGUAACACGUGGAUACCCUACCUAUCAGACUGGUAUAACUUCGGAAAACCGGAUCUAAUACCGGAUAAUAUAUUGAACCGUAGGGGGCGAUGGUGAAUGACGGUUUUGGUGUCACUUCUAGAUGGAUCCGCGCCGGAUGAGCUAGUUGGUAAGUUAACGGCUUACCAAGGCUACGAUGCGUAGCCGAACUGAGAGGGUGGUCGGCGACACUGGAACUGAGACACGGUCCAGACUACUACGGGAGGCAGCAGUAGGGAAUCUUCCGCAAUGGGCGAAAGCAUGACGGAGCAAGGCCGCGUGAGUGAUGAAGGUCUUCGGAUCGUAAAACUCUGUUACUAGGGAAGAACAAAUGUGUAAGUAACUAUGCAGGUCUUGACGGUACCUAAUAAGAAAGCACCGGCUAACUACGUG
Molecule: ribosomal RNA, 497 nt
Filed under: uncultured bacterium
Lineage: Bacteria
Description: partial 16S ribosomal RNA
Rfam family: Bacterial small subunit ribosomal RNA
Source: RNAcentral